RNAcentral lists this ribosomal RNA (787 nucleotides) under uncultured bacterium. Its description in RNAcentral is "bacterial SSU rRNA". It matches the Rfam family "Bacterial small subunit ribosomal RNA", at positions 1 to 792 of the family's 1533-position model. The record is from RNAcentral.
UUAGAGUUUGAUCAUGGCUCAGGAUGAACGCUAGCGGGAGGCCUAACACAUGCAAGCCGAGCGGUAUUGUUUCUUCGGAAAUGAGAGAGCGGCGUACGGGUGCGGAACACGUGUGCAACCUGCCUUUAUCUGGGGGAUAGCCUUUCGAAAGGAAGAUUAAUACUCCAUAAUAUAUUGAACGGCAUCGUUUAAUAUUGAAAGCUCCGGCGGAUAGAGAUGGGCACGCGCAAGAUUAGCUAGUUGGUGAGGUAACGGCUCACCAAGGCGAUGAUCUUUAGGGGGCCUGAGAGGGUGAUCCCCCACACUGGUACUGAGACACGGACCAGACUCCUACGGGAGGCAGCAGUGAGGAAUAUUGGUCAAUGGGUGCAAGCCUGAACCAGCCAUCCCGCGUGAAGGACGACUGCCCUAUGGGUUGUAAACUUCUUUUGUAUAGGGAUAAACCUACCCUCGUGAGGGUAGCUGAAGGUACUAUACGAAUAAGCACCGGCUAACUCCGUGCCAGCAGCCGCGGUAAUACGGAGGGUGCAAGCGUUAUCCGGAUUUAUUGGGUUUAAAGGGUCCGUAGGCGGACUUAUAAGUCAGUGGUGAAAGCCUGUCGCUUAACGAUAGRACUGCCAUUGAUACUGUAAGUCUUGAGUAUAUUUGAGGUAGCUGGAAUAAGUAGUGUAGCGGUGAAAUGCAUAGAUAUUACUUAGAACACCAAUUGCGAAGGCAGGUUACCAAGAUAUAACUGACGCUGANGGACGAAAAGCGUGGGGAGCGAACAGGAUUAGAUACCCCGGUA